UAGUCCACGCCGUAAACGAUGACAACUAGCCGUUGGGGGCCUUGAGCCUUUAGUGGCGCAGCUAACGCGAUAAGUUGUCCGCCUGGGGAGUACGGCCGCAAGGUUAAAACUCAAAUGAAUUGACGGGGCCCGCACAAGCGGUGGAGCAUGUUGUUUAAUUCGAUGCAACGCGAAGAACCUUACCACCCCUUGACAUCCUCGGAACUUGGCAGAGAUGCCUUGGUGCCUUCGGGAACCGAGUGACAGGUGCUGCAUGGCUGUCGUCAGCUCGUGUCGUGAGAUGUUGGGUUAAGUCCCGUAACGAGCGCAACCCUUGUCCUUAUUUGCCAGCACAUUAUGGUGGGAACUCUAAGGAGACUGACGGUGACAAACCGGAGGAAGGUGGGGAUGACGUCAAGUCAUCAUGGGCCCUUAUGGGGCUGGGGCUACACACGUGCUACAAUGGUCGGUACAGACGGCUGCAAACCCGCGAGGGGGAGCUAAUCCGAGAAAACCGA
Molecule: ribosomal RNA, 497 nt
Filed under: uncultured bacterium
Lineage: Bacteria
Description: bacterial SSU rRNA
Rfam family: Bacterial small subunit ribosomal RNA
Source: RNAcentral